CCUACGGGAGGCAGCAGUGGGGAAUAUUGCACAAUGGGGGAAACCCUGAUGCAGCAAAGCCGCGUGAGUGAAGAAGUAUUUCGGUAUGUAAAGCUCUAUUAGCAAGGAAGAGAAUGACGGUACCUGACUACGAAGCCCUGGCCAACUACGUGCCAGCAGCCGCGGGAACACGUAGGGGGCAAGCGUUAUACGGAUUUACUGGGUGUAAAGGGAGCGUAGACGGCUGUACAAGUCUGAAGUGAAAGCCCGGGGCUCAACCGCGGAACUGCUUUGGAAACUGUAAAGCGGGAGUACUGGAGAGGCAGGCGGAAUUCCUAGUGUAGCGGUGAAAUGCGUAGAUAUUAGGAGGAACACCAGUGGCGAAGGCAGCCUGCUGGACAGAAACUGACGUUGAGGCUCGAAAGCGUGGGGAGCGAACAGGAUUAGAUACCCCAGUAGUC
Molecule: ribosomal RNA, 440 nt
Filed under: uncultured bacterium
Lineage: Bacteria
Description: partial 16S ribosomal RNA
Rfam family: Bacterial small subunit ribosomal RNA
Source: RNAcentral